Molecule: ribosomal RNA, 468 nt
Filed under: uncultured bacterium
Lineage: Bacteria
Description: partial 16S ribosomal RNA
Rfam family: Bacterial small subunit ribosomal RNA
Source: RNAcentral
GACGAACGCUGGCGGCGUGCUUAACACAUGCAAGUCGAACGGAAAGGCCCUGCUUUUGUGGGGUGCUCGAGUGGCGAACGGGUGAGUAACACGUGAGUAACCUGCCCUUGACUUUGGGAUAACUUCAGGAAACUGGGGCUAAUACCGGAUAGGAGCUCCUGCUGCAUGGUGGGGGUUGGAAAGUUUCGGCGGUUGGGGAUGGACUCGCGGCUUAUCAGCUUGUUGGUGGGGUAAUGGCUUACCAAGGCUUUGACGGGUAGCCGGCCUGAGAGGGUGACCGGCCACAUUGGGACUGAGAUACGGCCCAGACUCCUACGGGAGGCAGCAGUGGGGAAUAUUGCACAAUGGGCGGAAGCCUGAUGCAGCAACGCCGCGUGCGGGAUGACGGCCUUCGGGUUGUAAACCGCUUUCGCCUGUGACGAAGCGUGAGUGACGGUAAUGGGUAAAGAAGCACCGGCUAACUACGUG